AGUGUUCUGGGGUGUUGGUUACCUGAUAAAUUCAACCACUGUUUGAUCGUAGGGAGAACGUGUUCUGCUGCGUAUGACAAGCUGCAUUUUGGUAGAAGUCAAAAACAGAAGAUAGUCCACCCACCUAGUUGGGGUGUGGUGUGAGAUUUAUCGGGUAACGGCAUUCUGGGCAGAUU
This 176-nucleotide non-coding RNA is filed under the name Fusibacter ferrireducens. RNAcentral's name for it is "6S RNA". It matches the Rfam family "6S / SsrS RNA". From Rfam's summary of the family: E. coli 6S RNA was the first non coding RNA to be sequenced, but its function was unknown until recently. It consists of 184 nucleotides that fold into an extended hairpin structure with a large single-stranded internal bulge. Lineage: Bacteria; Bacillati; Bacillota; Clostridia; Eubacteriales; Fusibacteraceae. The record is from RNAcentral.